AAGUCGUAACAAGGUUUCCGUAGGUGAACCUGCGGAAGGAUCAUUAACAAAUCUAUGAGCGAAAGCUCAUCAACCUUUGUGAAUUGGGUUGUGUAGUUGGUAACAAUUAUUCAACUUUGUUGGGGACCCUUUGUGUAUGUAAUGUAAUGUAAUGUAAUGUAAUGUAAUAUAAUAUAAUAGAAAGAUUAUUUCGAAAGAUUUAAUUUUUCUAUUGCAUGCAUGCAUAUCAUAUCAUAUCAUAUCAUAUCAUAUCAUAUAUAAUAUUAACAUUGUCUGAUUAUAGAUUGAAGUCGUAAGAUUUCAAAUAAAAAUACAACUUUUAACAAUGGAUCUCUAGGCUCUU
This 343-nucleotide unclassified non-coding RNA is filed under the name fungal sp. RNAcentral's name for it is "partial internal transcribed spacer region". The stretch from base 1 to 46 matches the Rfam family "Eukaryotic small subunit ribosomal RNA", at positions 1786 to 1831 of the family's 1831-position model. The record is from RNAcentral. Lineage: Eukaryota; Fungi.